AGAGUUUGAUCCUGGCUCAGGACGAACGCUGGCGGCGUGCUUAACACAUGCAAGUCGAACGGGAAUCGCAUACUCAGCACUGAGCGCAUUAUGUCGGUGAAACAAGUAUCUGGCAGCGUCAUGCGAGAGCCAAGCUCAAGCAUUACGCUAUAUACCAAGUGAUUAAUAUAAGCAGGACUUGGGCGCUGAGUGCUGAGCAUGCGAGGAGAGUGGCGGACGGGCGAGUAACGCGUGAGCAACCUGCCCUAUGCAGGGGGAUAACACCGGGAAACCGGUGCUAAUACCGCAUAAGACCACACUGGCGCAUGCCAGAGUGGUAAAAGCUGAGGCGGCAUAGGAUGGGCUCGCGUCCAAUUAGCUAGUUGGUAGGGUAACGGCCUACCAAGGCGACGAUUGGUAGCCGAACUGAGAGGUUGGUCGGCCGCAUUGGGACUGAGACACGGCCCAGACUCCUACGGGAGGCAGCAGUGGGGAAUAUUGCGCAAUGGGGGGAACCCUGACGCAGCGACGCCGCGUGAAGGAAGAAGGCCUUCGGGUUGUAAACUUCUUUGGUCGGGGAAGAAAGUGACGGUACCCGAGGAACAAGCCACGGCUAACUACGUGCCAGCAGCCGCGGUAAUACGUAGGUGGCGAGCGUUGUCCGGAAUUACUGGGUGUAAAGGGCGUGUAAGCGGGGUGUCAAGUCAUAUGUGAAAUUCCGAGGCUUAACUUCCGGUGUGCAUCUGAAACUGAUGCUCUUGAGUGUCGGAGAGGAAAGUGGAAUUCCCCAGUGUAGCGGUGAAAUGCGUAGAGAUUGGGAGGAACACCAGUGGCGAAGGCGGCUUUCUGGACGACAACUGACGCUGAGGCGCGAAAGCGUGGGUAGCGAACAGGAUUAGAUACCCUGGUAGUCCACGCCGUAAACGAUGGAUACUAGGUGUAGGAGGUAUCGACCCCUUCUGUGCCGUAGUUAACACAAUAAGUAUCCCACCUGGGGAGUACGGCCGCAAGGCUGAAACUCAAAGGAAUUGACGGGGGCCCGCACAAGCAGUGGAGUAUGUGGUUUAAUUCGAAGCAACGCGAAGAACCUUACCAGGGCUUGACAUCCCUCUGACCGUCCUAGAAAUAGGACUUCUCUUCGGAGCGGAGGAGACAGGUGGUGCAUGGUUGUCGUCAGCUCGUGUCGUGAGAUGUUGGGUUAAGUCCCGCAACGAGCGCAACCCCUGUUGUUAGUUGCCAUCAUUAAGUUGGGCACUCUAACGAGACUGCCGGUGACAAAUCGGAGGAAGGUGGGGACGACGUCAAAUCAUCAUGCCCCUUAUGUCCUGGGCUACACACGUACUACAAUGGCGAAUACAAAGGGAAGCGAAGUCGCGAGGCAGAGCAAAUCCCCAAAAUUCGUCCCAGUUCGGAUUGCAGGCUGCAACUCGCCUGCAUGAAGUCGGAAUUGCUAGUAAUGGCAGGUCAGCAUACUGCCGUGAAUACGUUCCCGGGCCUUGUACACACCGCCCGUCACACCAUGAGAGCUGACAACACCCGAAGUCGGUAGCUUAACCGCAAGGAGGGCGCCGCCGAAGGUGGGGUUAGUGAUUGGGGUGAAGUCGUAACAAGGUAACCG
RNAcentral lists this ribosomal RNA (1597 nucleotides) under uncultured bacterium. Its description in RNAcentral is "bacterial SSU rRNA". It matches the Rfam family "Bacterial small subunit ribosomal RNA". The record is from RNAcentral.